Rhodopseudomonas palustris CGA009 is the source of this 54-nucleotide non-coding RNA. The record is from Rfam. Lineage: Bacteria; Pseudomonadati; Pseudomonadota; Alphaproteobacteria; Hyphomicrobiales; Nitrobacteraceae.
UGGUCGGCAGUUCACCAAGGCGUCGCUGUCCCCUCGGGGAAGCUAAACCUGCCU